This is an RNA transcript of Anolis carolinensis (green anole), 7014 nucleotides long. RefSeq lists it as uncharacterized. The transcript is spliced from 4 exons. The record is from RefSeq and is a predicted model, not a curated record. NCBI's taxonomy places the organism in Eukaryota, Metazoa, Chordata, Lepidosauria, Squamata, Anolidae.
GCGGAGUAAGAGAAGGAAAGGAAAUGGUGGUUGGGGGAAAGCGAGGACUACUUUGCAGCACUACAAGCUUGUUAGGCCUUUCUCAUGCCGGCUUUGGAUCUUCUUUUUUUUAAGGGAAGGAAGGAAGGAAGGAGGGGGAAGUGCAUGGCAGAGGAGGAGGAGGAGGAGGGAUAAAAGAAACCACCCUUCACCCCCCCCCUUUUUUGGCGAUGGUGAGGUCCUGUUGGCCUCUAAAAUAGCGGAAGGAGAAGGCGGUGGAAUGAGCCAAAGGGGUGGGAGGCGGGGGAGGGGGGAGGGAGAGAGAAGCCUGGGCUGAGGGCGCUGGCGACAACCCCUGGGCGCCCCCUUGACUUGGAAGCGGAACUAUGGAUGGGCAGCCAGAGACGAAGCCGAACCGCCUCCCAAGACUCCCAGGCGGCGCUGAAGAAGAGAAGAAGAACACAUUGGCGGAGGAGCGGGCGUUUCUAUUUGGCUUGGAAAAGAGGGGGUUGUAGAGGAGGGGGAGUGGGUUUUAAAAAUAAUAAUAAUAAUAAUAAUAAUAAUAAUAAUAAUAAUAAUAAUAAUAAUAAUAAUAAACUCGAAUAAACACGAGGUAAUAAUUCUUCAACCCUUCCCCCCUUUCUAUUCUUUCUCCCCUCUGUUUUAACCUGGGGUUUUUUUGUCCAUCUUGGGAUUUGUUGUUGCUCUCCUCCCCCCCUCUUUCCCCAACAUCUGACCUCUGCAUGGCAUUAUUUCUGAACCCGGGGAUUUCUUUCGGGGUCGGGAGUGGAUCUAUCCUCAACGACCAAGAGGACACACUAAAGCUAGGCUUCUUAUCGUGGCGGGAAAUAGUUGGAAUGGAAGAGAGGAUCCUGUUCAGGGCUUACUUGGGAGGAAGGCGUGCUUUGAACGGGGAGGAAAGUACUUCCGCAAACUUAACAUGCAUGCGUUUGUAUAUGUGUGUAUAAAUAUGUGCGUCAUGUGUGUAUAAAUAUAUGGAGAGAUAAGUGGUAUUGCUGGCAGGAAAUGCAUGCUAUGGGCCAGAAAGAGAGACGCAAUCCUGUUGUCAUCAUCCACAUAAUAUUGAUGAUGGAUGUUUCUCUUUCACGGAUAGAUAGAUAGAUAGUUAGAUAAGAUAUGAAUAUGUGUAUAUACACACUCCUCGAGAAAGAAAAAAAAGCAUUCACCCAUAGAUAUAGAUGUACGUGUGUGUAUAUAUAUAUAUAUAUAUAUAUAUAUAUAUAUAUAUAUAUAUAUAUAUAGCGAGAGAGAGAGAAAGGUGAGACGAUUGGAGGUGCCUCUUUCAUAAAUAGAUAGAUAUGUGUAUAUUUGUGUGUAUGCAUGUGUGUGUGUAUACUUCUCUCAGAUAUGUGUACAUUUCGCUCAUACAUAUGUUUAUAUUUGUGUGUAUCUCUCAUAGAUGAGAUAUGUGUAUAUUUGUGUGUGUAGGUAUGUGUGUAUAUGUAUACACACACACACAUAUACAUAUAUACACACACACACUUCUCAUAGACAGGAUAUGUAUACAUAUCUUUCAUAGAUAAAACAAGUAUAUAUUUGUGUGUAUGCAUGUGUGUGUAUAUGUAUAUAUACCUCUCAUAGAUAUGUGUAUAUCUCUCAUAGAUGAGAUAUGUGUAUAUUUGUGUGUGUGUAUAUGUGUGCAUAUGUGUAUAUAUAUAUAUAUAUAUAUAUAUACACACACACACACACACACACUUCUCAUAGAUAGGAAAUGUAUGCAUAUCUUUCAUAGAGAAGACAUGUGUAUAUUUUUGUGUAUGCAUGUGUGUGUAUGUGUAUGUAUAUAUAUAUAUAUCAUAGAUAAGAUAUGUGUAUAUUUCUCUCAUAGAUAAGAUGUGUAUAUUUGUGUGUAUGCAUGUAUGCAUAUGUAUGUAUGUACAUACACAUACACACGCAUAUCUCAUAUUAUCUGACAAGAUGUUGACAAGCUGGAAAGCGUUCAGAGGAGGGCGACUAAAAUGAUUAAGGGUCUGGAGAACAAGCCCUAUGAGGAGCGGCUUAAAGAGCUGGGCAUGUUUAGCCUGCAGAAGAGAAGGCUGAGAGGAGACAUGAUAGCCAUGUACAAAUACGUGAGGGGAAGUCAUAGGGAGGAGGGAGCAAGCUUGUUUUCUGCUGCCCUGCAGACUAGGACACGGAACAAUGGCUUCAAACUACAGGAAAGGAGAUUCCACCUGAACAUCAGGAAGAACUUCCUCACUGUGAGAGCUGUUCGACAGUGGAACUCUCUCCCCGGGGCCGUGGUGGAGGCUCCUUCUUUGGAGGCUUUUAAGCAGAGGCUGGAUGGCCAUCUCUCGGGGUGCUUUGAAUGCGAUUUCCUGCUUCUUAGCAGGGGGUUGGACUGGAUGGCCCAUGUGGUCUCUUCCAACUCUACUAUUCUAUGAUUCUAUGAUUCUAUGAUUCUAUCUAUGAAAGAGGCACCUCUAAUCCCAUCAUCUUUCUCUCUCUAUCUCUCUUGAGAUAUAUAUAUAUAUAUACACACACACACACACAUAUAUAUACAUCUAUAUCUAUAUCUCUAUAUCCAUGGGUGAACGCUUGCUUGUCUUUCUCGCGGAGUGUGUAUGUGUUUGUAUGUAUAUGUGUGUAUGUAUAUGUAUAUCGGGAAGGUGAGUUUCCCUCUCUUUGUGGGCCAGAGCAUGCAUUUCCAGUCUUUUGAUAUAUAGUCAAUUAUAUAUCACACUUUACAAAAAAGAAAGAAGUCUAUUUUAGUUUCUAAAACAUGUUUUGCGGUGCAAAUUGCUUCAAGAGGAUUCUUGAUGGGGGUGGGUUGUGAUGGGGGGUGGUUGGGAAAGCGAAGCUGGCUAAAGUGGAUCAGCGAUCUGCUUUUGUCACCCAGGCGAUCCCCCCUAAUGUGGUUUAAGCUCCUCGGAAUGGAAAGAGGCGAGCUUACGGGGAGGAUUUCCUUGAGCAGGGAGUUCAGUGUUAAUCAUCCGGAUCAAAUCCUGCCCUUCCCACCUGCACGAGACAGGCAGAAAGGAGGGGAAAAAAGGGGGGGAGAGGGAGAGAAAUAAGCCUCUCUAAAACCAGAGCGCAAGAUGUCACCCGGGGUGGGCGUGUAGAGGCGAGGAGGAGAAGAGGAUCCGGAUCAAAGUUAAAGGAAAGCUGUCAGCGCUUAUCCAUCCCCAGCGCGGCAUCAUCACCAUCGCUGCUUUCUGAGGGGCAACGAAGGGAACAAAUCAAACCAAGUGGGGCCGUGAAGUGAUGGACGAUGGAGGAAAGGAGGAAGAGAAAUAUGGAAUGAAUGAUAAUAUUUUACCCAUAAAACGGAAACUAAAGUUUGGAGAGCUGGAGUGAUAUAAUAUUGGAUUAGAACUUUGGAACCCAAAGCUUGAAUCCCCACUUGACCAUGGACACCCUUUGGAAGACCUUGAACAAGUCUUAGUCUCUCAGCCUCAGAUGAUGGCAAAAUUUCCUCCCUGAUCAAAUCUUGUUAAGAAAAUUUCAUAAUAGGGUCACCAAGCUGGAGAUGACUAAAAAGCACAUAAUAACAAAUGCAAGGGUGGGUGCCUGCCUGAUCUCCCUAGGGAGAGAGUUCCAGAUCCGGGGGCCACUACUGAGAAGGCCUGCUCCCUCGUCCCUGCCAACCAAGCUUGUGAUGGAGGCGGGAGCAAGAGAAGGGCCUCCCCGGAUGAGCGAAGAAGUCAUGCAGGUUCAUAGGGAGAAAGACGGUCACGAAGUGACAGGCCACAUACUUAUGAAGAAGGAUUUGAGGGCAACUUCACCCUCAGUGCUGUAACAAUUUAUAUCAAGAGGUCUACCAGUACGAGUGCUACCAGUACGCUGAUGACACUCAGCUUAUGUUGAAGAUGGAAGGCCGACCGGACUCUGUACCCGAUAACUUCCAUCAAUGCCUCAAGGCUGUUACUGGAUGGUUGCGUGCCAGCAGGUUGAGGGUGAAUCCAGCAAAGACGGAGAUCCUAUGGCUGGGUCAACCGGGCAGUUGGGAUAUCCAGUUGCCUAGCCUGGAUGGCGAAGUGCUAUGCCCGUCACCAUUGGUAAAGAGUCUGGGAGUCCUUUUGGACCCUCUGCUGACGAUAGAAGCCCAGGUCUCCGCCAUUAGUAGAACCGCCUUCUUUCACCUGCGGCAGGCUAGAGGGCUGGCCCUCUAUCUGUCAAGGGAUGACCUAGCUACAGUGAUCCAGGCCAUGGUCAUCUCAAGACUGGACUACUGUAAUGCCCUCUACAUUGGCCUUCCUUUGUCGGUGAUCCGGAAGCUCAAGUUGGUACAAAAUGCAGCUGCUCGACUUCUUGCGGGAGCCCUGAUGAGAUGUCAUAUAACACCAAUCUUACUACAGCUGUACUGGUUACCAAUUGAGCACUGGAUCGCUUUCAAAGUGAUGGUGCUUACUUUUAAGGCCUUACAUGGUCUAGGGCCAAUGUACCUGAGGGACCGCCUCACCCCCUACCAACCCCAGAGAUCCCUCCGUUCUGAGGACCAAGAUCCAUUGGAAGUUCCCAGUUUUAAGACCUUGCGUCUAACAGCAACUAGACGUAGAGCUUUUACAUCAGUGGCGCCAUCACUCUGGAACACUCUGCCGCCUGAAGUUCGUGCCUUGCGGGACUUAUCAGUCUUCCACAGGGCAUGUAAGACAUAUCUGUUUCGGCAGGCUUUUGAUCUCCGUUAUUGCUGUUUUUAAAUUGCUUAGAUUUUAGCUUGUUUUUGUAAGCCACUCCGAGCCUUGGGGGAGUAUUUUUAAGAUUUUUUAAAAAAGAUAUUUUAAAGAUGUUUUUAAAUUGUUAGAUUUUAGCCUUUCUUGUAAGCUGCCCCUAGGGGAGUGGCGGCAUAUAAGUUUAAAUAAUAAAUAAAUAAAUAAAUAAAUACUGGUUAUAGUACAAAUUGGUAGAUAGUACAAAUAUAGUAGUGAUUGGUAGAUAGCCUUAUUGUCCCCAAGUCUGUAGAGUGCCUUUUAGUUGGAAGCUGUUAUCACAUCUUCUCGAAGUAAGUUCCAUUAUUUUAUCAUGAACAAAUACUGCUUCUGCCUAUCUUAACUCUUCCAUAAUUCAACUUCAUUGAAGGCUAUAGUAUUAUAACAGAGGGGAAAACUAACUACCUGCUUUCUCACACCACAUAUACUUUUACACAUCGGGUUGCUGUGAAUUUUCUGGGCUGCAUGGCUAUGUUCCAUACAUGCUUCUGGAACAUGGCCAUACAGCCCAGAAAACUCACAGCAACCCAGAGAUUACGGCCAUGAAAACCUUCGACAACACUUUUAUACAUCGAUGUCAAUGUGUCCCCUUACUUGCUCUUCUCUAAGCUAAAAAAUUCCAUUGUAAAUGUUGUUUUAGAGAUCAUUAAUUAUUAUCAUUAAUUUUGGUUUUCAAUUUUGUUUACUCUUCAGAAGAGUCUCUUCUGCAUUCUUGCUCUGUAGUAUCUUUUUUUGUUGUUGCAGUGACUCAAAUUAUACAGAGGAGUGUAUUGCAUCACAACAUUAGCUGUUAAUUUUUUAUACCCCCCCCCCCCCCAAAAAAAAAAAAAGAGAGAUGUGCACAAGAGUGAUGUUUUUAUAAAGCCAUCCAUGUUUAGCAACCCCAGUAUUCCUUUCCUGGACAGUCAACCUGCAUAGAUGCGUAUGAAAGAUGAAGCUGGGAUUUUUUUUUUUGCUCUAACAUGAACCCAUUAGCUAUGAUAAUGGACACCCUCCAGUUUGGAGAAAUCUUUUUGGAGUGCUUGGUUUUAACUGCUCUAAAUAAUAAUUUGACAUUUUCUACAAACCUAAGCACCUCAAUAUUCACUUGUAACCGGAUAAUUCAUCAACAAUUUGAAAACAGCACUGGCAUUAAUGCAGAUGAGCGGGAGAUUUUGCAUUCUUUUAUUAUGAGAAUUAGUUCUUUUCUUCCUUUCUUUCCUCCAUAAAUAGUAAAUUUAUUCACAGUCUUCAGUGUGAUUCAUCAAAAACUUGCUUAUCAAUUGCAACUACAGUAGACCUAUCGACUUUCUUACAUACUGACUUACCACUCAACAACAGAUUUAAAGAGUCUCUUCUAGCUGGAAAAAAACUAAUAGGAUUCUGGCCAAGGUCUAGCUCAAUGAUUCUCAACCUGUGGGUCCCCAGAAAUUUUGGCCUUCAACUCCCAGAAAUCCUAACAGCUGGUAAACUGGGAUUUCUGGGAGUUGAAGGCCAAAACACCUGGGGACCUACAGGCUGAGAACCACUGAUCUAGCUGAUCAAUCCUGUCCGCAUACUUGUUGGCACUCUCAAAUAACUCUAAAACCUUAGCAAGACAAGGACUUGCCUUUGUAGAAGUCAUAUGGUUCCUGCCUUUCUAUAUGCCUAAUACAUUUAACAUUGCUUUCUACUAAGUUACCUGAAAGAGAAGUUAUGCUAGCCUAGUCCAUCAUAUUCCAAAUUACUUUUUCAACAUCUGUGGGAAUCCUGUAUUACCUUUAACUUUAUUUUUGUAUGUAUUUUAUAGAAAUAUGUUUUAAUAUGUGUAUUUUAUAGAAUGUUUACAAUGGUUAUGUAUUUUUAGCUAUGUUGUAACCCGCCUCAAGCUACAAGGAGAGGUAGGUAAGAUUUUUUUUUAAAUUACUUAAUGUAUCUUUUAGUAUAUUUAGCUAAGAAGUAGAGAUGCUAAGAAAUCUUGCUAGUGAAUUGUGGAGAUGUGUAUCGGGACAAUAGCAUUACUGCCUAAUGCACAAUAUCUUCAUUUUACUCCCUACUGUUGCACACUUGUGUCCACAGCCCUAAGUGGGUGGAACUGCACUCUUGUAGGCAUGUGAGCCUGAACACAGAUCCUUCUCAAAGAUUUUGAUGUCUUCCUGAAAGCACUUUCUCUUUCCUUCAUUUAGGCUUUAAAAGGCCUUAAGUAUUUUAUAUUGUAUUGUUUUAAAUGUAUUUAUUGUAUUAUGCUAAACUGUUUAAUUGUUUUAAUUGCUUAUGUUUUAUCUUUUGUAUUGUAUAUUGGCAUUGAAUCUUGCCAGACUGUGAGCUGCCCUGAGUCCCUUCAGGUGAGAAGGGUGGCAUAGAAAUUAUGGAAAUAAAUAAUAAAUAAAUAAUUCACUGGUUUCUGAAA